Molecule: non-coding RNA, 416 nt
Organism: Pelobates cultripes (western spadefoot toad)
Lineage: Eukaryota; Metazoa; Chordata; Amphibia; Anura; Pelobatidae
Source: the annotation of a GenBank genome assembly
GUGUGUGUUUGCCAGUACAUGUGAGUGUGUGUGUGUGUGAGUGUCAGUGAAUGUGAGUGAGUGUGUUUAUCAGUGAGUGUGUGUCUGUCAGUGAGUGUGAGUGUGUGUCAAUUAUUAUGUGUGUGUGUCAUUGUGUGAGUGUGUCUCAUUGUGUGUGUGCAUCUGUCAGUGAGUUUGUGUUGGUCUGUCAGUGAAUGUGUGUGUCUGAGUGAUUGUGCAUGUCUGUCAGUAAGUGGGUGCAUCUGUCAGUGCUUAUGUGUGUCUGUCAGUGAGUGUAUGCAUCUGUCAGUGUGUAUCUGAAUGAUUGUAUGUGUCUGUCAGAUUGUGUCAAAUCAGUGAGUGUAUGUGUGUGUAUAUGUCAGUAUAUCUGAGAGUGUGUGCUGGUCUGUGAGUGUGUGUCUGUCAGUAAAAAUGUG